UGCAGUCGAGCGAAUGGAUUGAGAGCUUGCUCUCAAGAAGUUAGCGGCGGACGGGUGAGUAACACGUGGGUAACCUGCCCAUAAGACUGGGAUAACUCCGGGAAACCGGGGCUAAUACCGGAUAACAUUUUGAACUGCAUGGUUCGAAAUUGAAAGGCGGCUUCGGCUGUCACUUAUGGAUGGACCCGCGUCGCAUUAGCUAGUUGGUGAGGUAACGGCUCACCAAGGCAACGAUGCGUAGCCGACCUGAGAGGGUGAUCGGCCACACUGGGACUGAGACACGGCCCAGACUCCUACGGGAGGCAGCAGUAGGGAAUCUUCCGCAAUGGACGAAAGUCUGACGGAGCAACGCCGCGUGAGUGAUGAAGGCUUUCGGGUCGUAAAACUCUGUUGUUAGGGAAGAACAAGUGCUAGUUGAAUAAGCUGGCACCUUGACGGUACCUAACCAGAAAGCCACGGCUAACUACGUGCCAGCAGCCGCGGUAAUACGUAGGUGGCAAGCGUUAUCCGGAAUUAUUGGGCGUAAAGCGCGCGCAGGUGGUUUCUUAAGUCUGAUGUGAA
Molecule: ribosomal RNA, 561 nt
Filed under: Bacillus sp. (in: firmicutes)
Lineage: Bacteria; Bacillati; Bacillota; Bacilli; Caryophanales; Bacillaceae
Description: bacterial SSU rRNA
Rfam family: Bacterial small subunit ribosomal RNA
Source: RNAcentral